CAAUUACUCAGAGCCACAAGGCACUUGAUCAGUGGACAGAUGACUGUAAGUGAAGUAAGACUGGAAAUAUUCAAUUUCUUAACUGCCAAAGACAAGGAAAUGUCAGGCAAUGUACUUUACAGUAUCAUUAUAUGAAGAAGCGACCAAAAGAAGUCCUCCGACGUAUCCAAGCCUAAGGCCCCACAAAAUGUGGGUCUGCUGCCGCCAGAGGACGAGAUGCACCGACCCACACCCCAGAGAGCACAGCAGAGCUCCUGUCCCUCCUGCCCCCUCGGCCCCACCAGCGCCCACUGGAGCUGGCACUGCUGGCAACCCCCACCCCCCACUCCGGGGGAUGGUGGCCACAGGCCCCUGCGGGGGAGUCCGGGGGGGGGAUGAGCCUGGCCCUGGGGCAAGGUCCAUUCCUUCUCUGAUUCUGUCCCAAUCCUGUUUCAGUAUUCUGCAAACAGUAUAUACAGUAGUGGA
Long non-coding RNA from Mirounga angustirostris (Northern elephant seal), 465 nucleotides. RefSeq lists it as uncharacterized. The transcript is spliced from 3 exons. Lineage: Eukaryota; Metazoa; Chordata; Mammalia; Carnivora; Phocidae. The record is from RefSeq and is a predicted model, not a curated record.